This 432-nucleotide ribosomal RNA is filed under the name uncultured bacterium. Its description in RNAcentral is "partial 16S ribosomal RNA". It matches the Rfam family "Bacterial small subunit ribosomal RNA", at positions 29 to 506 of the family's 1533-position model. The record is from RNAcentral.
AGCGAACGCUGGCGGCAGGCCUAACACAUGCAAGUCGAACGAACUCUUCGGAGUUAGUGGCGGACGGGUGAGUAACACGUGGGAACGUGCCUUUUGGUUCGGAAUAACUCAGGGAAACUUGUGCUAAUACCGAAUGUGCCCUUCGGGGGAAAGAUUUAUCGCCAUUAGAGCGGCCCGCGUCUGAUUAGCUAGUUGGUGAGGUAACGGCUCACCAAGGCGACGAUCAGUAGCUGGUCUGAGAGGAUGACCAGCCACACUGGGACUGAGACACGGCCCAGACUCCUACGGGAGGCAGCAGUGGGGAAUCUUGCGCAAUGGGCGAAAGCCUGACGCAGCCAUGCCGCGUGAAUGAUGAAGGUCUUAGAAUUGUAAAAUUCUUUCACCGGGGACGAUAAUGACGGGACCCGGAGAAGAAGCCCCGGCUAACUUCGU